CGCUCCUCACCCCCCCUCCCCAUUCUCCAGGGGCGGAGGGUGACGCGGGACCGGACCUCAACCCCCUGUCCCCAUUCUCCAGGGGGGGGGGGGGGGGGGUGACGCGGGGCCGCCGAGCUGGGGCGUUAUUGUGACGGGAGAAUAUGCCGGCCUUGAAACCCAACACCGAAUAUUCCGGACACGUCCCCCUCCACCGCCCUAGCGCAGAGCCGGCCGGCCGGCCGUUGCUAAUGCUUGAUGGAGCGUCGCCCAAACAAUGAUCCUGAAAAGAGGCGGUCGGAAAAAAAUACACCCGCUUCACGGCUUCCUCUCACCAUCGCUCCGCUUGAUUUCGACGUAAAUCCCGAUAUGGACUCUUCCGAAAUUGAUUGCCAUACUUUAUCGCCUACCAUUCGUCGCACGAUAUCGCCGUUGAUUUAAAUAAAACCGUUUAAUCGUU
This is a long non-coding RNA of Amblyraja radiata (thorny skate), 439 nucleotides long. RefSeq lists it as uncharacterized. The transcript is spliced from 2 exons. Lineage: Eukaryota; Metazoa; Chordata; Chondrichthyes; Rajiformes; Rajidae. The record is from RefSeq and is a predicted model, not a curated record.